Brachypodium distachyon (stiff brome) is the source of this 94-nucleotide non-coding RNA. Lineage: Eukaryota; Viridiplantae; Streptophyta; Magnoliopsida; Poales; Poaceae. The record is from Rfam.
AAACUACUCCCUCCGUCCCAAAAUAAGUGACUUCGAUUUGUAUAGAUUCUUAUACAAAUCCACGUCACUUAUUUCGGGACGGAGGGAGUACGUU